RNAcentral lists this ribosomal RNA (110 nucleotides) under Citrobacter koseri. RNAcentral's name for it is "partial 23S ribosomal RNA". It matches the Rfam family "Bacterial large subunit ribosomal RNA", at positions 2813 to 2925 of the family's 2925-position model. The record is from RNAcentral. Lineage: Bacteria; Pseudomonadati; Pseudomonadota; Gammaproteobacteria; Enterobacterales; Enterobacteriaceae. RNAcentral also lists the same sequence under 31 other names.
CCUUGAGAGUCCUGAAGGAACGUUGAAGACGACGACGUUGAUAGGCCGGGUGUGUAAGCGCAGCGAUGCGUUGAGCUAACCGGUACUAAUGAACCGUGAGGCUUAACCUU